Propithecus coquereli (Coquerel's sifaka) is the source of this 1134-nucleotide RNA transcript. It is a transcript of the gene named elongation factor 1-delta pseudogene, with no coding region annotated. The record is from RefSeq and is a predicted model, not a curated record. Lineage: Eukaryota; Metazoa; Chordata; Mammalia; Primates; Indriidae. The transcript has 2 exons.
AUGCCACUGGAAGCCACGGGGCUUCAGCGUGCUGAGCCGAGACCUCCGGUGUUCACAGACACGGUGACAAGCACAGUCACCUGCUUAAGAACCGAGGUGGAAGAUGCCCAGUACACCCCUUGCUCAAAAGUUGAACCCUUCCUUUCCUCAGCCCCCUGGUACUGCUGCCCCACCACCACCACCACACCCCAUCACCGCCUCUGGUUACCAUCGUCCUUGGCUGGAGUCAGAAAAGUGGCUACAAACUUCCUAGUCCAUGAGAAGAUCUGGUUCGAGAAGUUCAAGUAUGACGAUGCGAGUUGCAGAAAGGAAAUUCUAUGAGCAGAUGAACAGGCCCGUGGUUGGCUCCUCCUGCCAGAAGAAUGGCACCAGGAUGACCCUUGGAGACAUUGCAAGAGCCAGAGAGAAUAUCCAGAAAUCCCUGGCUGGAAGUUUGGGCCCCGGGACCUCCAGCGGCCAGAUGGAGACCACGGUGAGCUCAUCACCCAGAUAGCCAACCUGGAAGUGGAGAACCAGGGCCUGCGAGGCAUGGUGCUGGACCUGCAGCAGGCUGUCUCCAAGCUGGAGGUCCAGCUGAGCGUGCUUUAGAGGAGCUAACCCACCCACCAGGCCACAGCCCCGCAGACCCAGCACCUAGCACGUGUCUGCCAAGUGGAGCCUCCAACCAAAAAGGAGGCCACAUGAGCCAAAGAUGACAAGGACAAUGACAUUAACCUGUUUGGCAGUGACAAUGAGAAGGAGGAUAAGGAGGCAGCCUGGCUGCGGGAGGAGAGGCUACAUCAGUAUGCAGAGAAGAAGGCCAAGAAGCCAGCGCUGGUGGCCAAGUCUUCCAUCCUGCUGGAUGUCAACCCUUGGGAUGAUGAGAGAGAUAUGGCCCAGCUGGAGGCCUGUGUGCAUUCCAUCCAGCUGGAUGGGCUGGUCUGGCGGGGCUCCAAGCUGGUGCCCGUGGGCUACAGCAUCCACAAGCUACAGAUCCAGUGUGUGGUGGAGGACAAGGUGGAGACCAACUUGCUGGAAGAAGAGAUCACCAAGUUUGAGGAGCAUGUGCAGAGUGUCGACAUCGCAGCUUUCAACAAGAUCUGAAGCCUGAUGAGCACGUGUGUAAGUGAGGCCCUGCCAGGAUUAAAAACUGAG